UGCAAGUCGACAGCGAUGAAAUCUUGACAGAUCCCUUCGGGGUGAAGCAUACAGCAUGGAUUAGCGGCGGACGGGUGAGUAACACGUGAGUAACCUGCCUUAACAUGGGAUAGCCUCGGGAAACCGGGAUUAAUACAAAUAAAAUCAUAGGUGCCCAUGCACUAAUGAUCAAAACUCCGGUGGUCUAAGCAUGGACUCGCGUCCCAUUAGCUAGUUGGUGAGGUAACGGCCCACCAAGGCGACGAUGGGUAGCCGGCCUUGAAGGGUGCAACGGCCACAUUGGAACUGAGAAACGGUCCAAACUACCUACGGGAGGCAGCAGUGGGGAAUAUUGCACAAUGGAGGGAACUCUGAUGCAGCGACGCCGCGUGAACGAUGAAGGCUUCGAGUCGUAAAGUUCUUGUCUAUGGGAAGAUAAUGACGGUACCAUAAGAAAAAGCCCCGGCUACACUACGUGCCAGCAGCCGCAGGUACAUACGUAGGGGGCUAGCGUAAGUCCGGAAUCACUGGGCGUACAGGGUACACGCAGAGCGGACAAUGCAAGUACA
This 548-nucleotide ribosomal RNA is filed under the name uncultured Clostridia bacterium. Its description in RNAcentral is "bacterial SSU rRNA". It matches the Rfam family "Bacterial small subunit ribosomal RNA", at positions 56 to 595 of the family's 1533-position model. The record is from RNAcentral. Lineage: Bacteria; Bacillati; Bacillota; Clostridia.